This 118-nucleotide ribosomal RNA is filed under the name Salmo salar (Atlantic salmon). Lineage: Eukaryota; Metazoa; Chordata; Actinopteri; Salmoniformes; Salmonidae. The record is from RNAcentral.
GCUUACGGCCAUACCAGCCUGGGUACGCCCGAUCUCGCCGAUCUCGGAAGCUAAGCAGGGUCGGGCCUGGUUAGUACUUGGAUGGGAGACCGCCUGGGAAUACCAGGUGCUGUAAGCA